GGUGGGGUUCCCGAGCGGCCAAAGGGAGCUGACUGUAAAUCUGCCGUCAUCGACUUCGAAGGUUCGAAUCCUUCCCCCACCACCA
RNAcentral lists this transfer RNA (85 nucleotides) under Escherichia coli. Its description in RNAcentral is "tRNA-Tyr". It matches the Rfam family "tRNA". Rfam says of the family: Transfer RNA (tRNA) molecules are approximately 80 nucleotides in length. Their secondary structure includes four short double-helical elements and three loops (D, anti-codon, and T loops). The record is from RNAcentral. RNAcentral also lists the same sequence under 3 other names. Lineage: Bacteria; Pseudomonadati; Pseudomonadota; Gammaproteobacteria; Enterobacterales; Enterobacteriaceae.